AUGUGGAUUUCAAGCUCUCAGUCUGGCUACGAUGAGAAAAAUCCUCUGACACAUAAUUUCCACAGAGCCACAGAAUAUGAGGCUGGAAAGACCCAGAAUGCUCAUCUAGAUGACCUCCCACCUAGGCAGCCCAGAGGCAUUUAACAUCCAAAUUCAUCUGUAAGCAAUCAAAACCACAGGUGAAAGACAAGAACAAAGGAUUUACCUAGUGAAUCAUCAAAGUGCUUUAUUUUAUAAAGCCUUGCUCAUGUUUGGAGUGUAAUCUAAGCACUAACAUACACAAUAAUGAGUCUUCCUUGCCCUGUCCAAAUAAACAGUUUAUGAACAAGAGUGAGUGACAAAAAUGCUACACAGACAAAAAGAAUGCUUUGCUGCAAAUGUCUAAAAUGGUCUAAAAACGUACACUCGUUAGCCGCAAUUAAAUACGUACUCUGAGUACCUUAUUUUUACUCCAGGGUCUCCCUGUGGCCUCAUACCUUCAGAAGCUUC
This 489-nucleotide long non-coding RNA is filed under the name Taeniopygia guttata (zebra finch). RNAcentral describes it as "lncRNA (ENSTGUG00000022443.1)". The record is from RNAcentral. Lineage: Eukaryota; Metazoa; Chordata; Aves; Passeriformes; Estrildidae.